GUGGCCGCUGUUUACCUCGCUGUCUGCCAAGUCGGACUCGAACUGCGACUGAAUCUGCGCUCCAUCUCUUUACGGGUAACUUCUAGAAAGAAGACUUUGGACGACGCUUUUCUGCCUAUUUUGUUGUUAGUUUUUUUUUUCCUGCCGUGAACCGACUCUACACCGAAAGCGGCCAACAACUGUGCUUAACGCAAAGGUCAGGGACAUCGGAACGGGACAUAUUUUGCCUAAUUGUAGUGCCACGCUGCCAGUGAGGGUGAACCUGAUGCACGGAGGACACCCCGGGGUCAUUGCUGAGGGAGGGAGACCGGGGAAGGCAGGUAAGAGAAGCUAGCAACAGAAAGAAAAGAGACCCAUUUGAUGGAAGAAAAGCGAAAGAAAAAACAAGAAGAAAAGGAGGCCUGACGUCGCUCAGAAAAA
Long non-coding RNA from Gasterosteus aculeatus aculeatus (three-spined stickleback), 420 nucleotides. Lineage: Eukaryota; Metazoa; Chordata; Actinopteri; Perciformes; Gasterosteidae. The record is from Ensembl.